CCGACCGUGGAGGUAUCGGAAGCGAGAAUGCUGACAUGAGUAACGUAAAAUAAUGUGAGAAACAUUUUCACCGUAAGCCAAAGGUUUUCUACGCUAUGUUAAUCAACGUAGAGUUAGGCGGACUCUAAGAUAAAAUAAUAGUGAAAACUUUAUAAUUGUUAAUGAGUAUGUUUUGUAUAAUUAAAACCAAUAAUAAAUAUUCAAAGUGACUAAGAAUUUAAUUAAUAUUUAAAUUAAUGAAUUUUUUUAAUAUUAAAAAAUUUUUACCAGAAAAAACUUUAUAUUUUAAAAACCGUACUAAAACCGACACAGGUUGGCUAGUAGAGUAUACUAAGGUGUUUGAGAUAAUAAUAUUGAAGGAACUUGGCAAAUUAACUCCGUAACUUCGGGAUAAGGUGGACCUUUUGAGGUGUAACAUAAAAGAAGAGAGCGACUGUUUAAUAAAAACACAGGAUUCUGCUAAGUUGUAAAAUGAUGUAUAGGAUCUGAAGCCUGCCCAGUGCUGCGUGAUUAAAAAGGAAAAAUUUCAUUAUAAAUAAAGAUAAAAUUAAAAUUUUAUCUUUAUUUUAAAUUUGAUGUUUUAAAUUAGAGUCCCAGUAAACGGCAGCUGUAACUAUAACGGUUCUAAGGUAGCGAAAUUCAUUGUCGAGUAAGUUUUGACCAGCAUGAAUGGUAUAACGACUCUCUUACUGUCUCCAAUAUUAACUCAGUGAAAUUGAAAUGUCCGUGAAGAUGCGGAUUUUUAUCGGCGGGACGGAAAGACCCCAUGCACCUUUACUAUAGUUUUGCAUUAUUUUAAAUAAAUAAAUAUGUAGCAUAGAUGAGAGUUAAUGAUACCUUAACGCCAGUUAAUUGUAGAAACGUCAGUGAAAUAUCAUCUUUUUAUUUUUUUGAAAUUAAUUUAUUCAUAAUAUUAUAUGUAAUGAUAACAGUGCAAGAUUGGUAGUUUAACUGGGAAGGUUGCCUCCUAAAAUGUAACGGAGGCGCGCAAAGGUAAGUUUACUUUUAAUUCUGAUUAAAAUGAAAGUGUAAUGGCAAUAAACUUACUUGAUUGAUAGACUUACAAGUCGAACAAGUAUUUAUUUUUUUAAUAGUUAUUAUAAAAAAUAACUUAUUAUAAUAAAAUUAGUAGGCCAUAAUGAUCCAGCAAAUCUUUGUGGAUAGAUUGCUGCUCAACGGAUAAAAGGUACGCUGGGGAUAACAGGCUAAUAAUUCUUGAGAGUCCUUAUCGACGGGAUUGUUUGGCACCUCGAUGUCGAAUCAUCACAUCCUGGAGCUGUAGAAGGUUCCAAGGGUUAGGCUGUUCGCCUAUUAAAGUGAUACGUGAUUUGGGUUUAGAACGUCGUGAGACAGUUUGGCCCCUAUCUACCGAUAAUGUUAUAAAAUUGAAAAAGUUCUGCCCUAGUACGAGAGGACCGGGACGUAUAUACCACUUGUUUUCCAGUUGUUGUGUCAACAGCAUCGCUGGGUAGCUACGUAUAAUAGUGUAACUAUUGAAAUCAUCUUAAAUAGGAAAACUCUUUUAAAAAAAAUUUUAUUAGAAAGACUGUAAUAGAAGAUUACAAAUUUAUUAUUUGUUAAAAUAAAAUUUAUUUUAACAAAUAAUAACUUAAAUUUGAUUAGGUUAGGUGU
RNAcentral lists this ribosomal RNA (1632 nucleotides) under freshwater metagenome. RNAcentral's name for it is "bacterial LSU rRNA". It matches the Rfam family "Bacterial large subunit ribosomal RNA", at positions 1267 to 2925 of the family's 2925-position model. The record is from RNAcentral.